Molecule: ribosomal RNA, 484 nt
Filed under: uncultured bacterium
Lineage: Bacteria
Description: partial 16S ribosomal RNA
Rfam family: Bacterial small subunit ribosomal RNA
Source: RNAcentral
AGUGAACGCUGGCGGCAGGCCUAACACAUGCAAGUCGAGCGGCAGCGCGGGGGCCACCCUGGCGGCGAGCGGCGGACGGGUGAGGAAUUCGUCGGAAUCUGCCCUUUUGUGGGGGAUAACGUAGGGAAACUUACGCUAAUACCGCAUACGUUCUACGGGAGAAAGAGGGGGACCGCAAGGCCUUACGCAGAAAGAUGAGCCGACGACCGAUUAGCUAGUUGGUGGGGUAAAGGCCCACCAAGGCGACGAUCGGUAGCUGGUCUGAGAGGAUGAUCAGCCACACUGGGACUGAGACACGGCCCAGACUCCUACGGGAGGCAGCAGUGGGGAAUAUUGGACAAUGGGCGCAAGCCUGAUCCAGCCAUGCCGCGUGUGUGAAGAAGGCCUUCGGGUUGUAAAGCACUUUUGUCCGGAAAGAAAUCCCUGGAGCUAAUACCUUCGGGGGAUGACGGUACCGGAAGAAUAAGCACCGGCUAACUUCGUG